RNAcentral lists this ribosomal RNA (419 nucleotides) under uncultured bacterium. RNAcentral's name for it is "bacterial SSU rRNA". It matches the Rfam family "Bacterial small subunit ribosomal RNA", at positions 359 to 776 of the family's 1533-position model. The record is from RNAcentral.
GAAUAUUGGGCAAUGGCCGAGAGGCUGACCCAGCCAUGCCGCGUGCAGGAAGAAGGCCUUCUGGGUUGUAAACUGCUUUUAUCAGGGAAGAAAACGCUCAUGCGAGAGUAACUGACGGUACCUGAUGAAUACGCACCGGCCAACUCCGUGCAAGCAGCCGCGGUAAAACGGAGGGUGCAAGCGUUGUCCGGAUUUAUUGGGUUUAAAGGGUGCGUAGGCGGCCCGUUAAGUCAGCGGUGAAAUCCCAGGGCUCAACCCUGGAACUGCCGUUGAUACUGGCGGGCUUGAGUUCGGUCGAGGCGGGCGGAACUGGUGGUGUAGCGGUGAAAUGCAUAGAUACCACCAAGAACCCCGAUUGCGUAGGCAGCUCGCUAGGCCGAAACUGACGCUGAGGCACGAAAGCGUGGGGAGCGAACAGG